RNAcentral lists this ribosomal RNA (504 nucleotides) under uncultured eukaryote. RNAcentral describes it as "bacterial SSU rRNA". It matches the Rfam family "Eukaryotic small subunit ribosomal RNA", at positions 256 to 757 of the family's 1831-position model. The record is from RNAcentral.
AUAACUUAGCGAAUCGCAUUAGCCUUUUGUGCUGGCGAUGGUACAUUCAAAUUUCUGCCCUAUCAAUUUGAUGGUAGGAUAGAGGCCUACCAUGGUUUUUACGGGUGACGGAGAAUUAGGGUUCGAUUCCGGAGAGGGAGCCUGAGAGAUGGCUACCACUUCUAAGGAAGGCAGCAGGCGCGCAAAAUUACCCCAAUCCUGAUACAGGGAGGUAGUGACAAGAAAUAACAAUACAGGUCCCAAUACGGGCCUUGUAAUUGGAAUGAGUACAAUUUAAACCCCUUAAUGAGUAACAAUUGGAGGGCAAGUCUGGUGCCAGCAGCCGCGGUAAUUCCAGCUCCAAUAGCAUAUAUUAAAUUUGUUGCAGUUAAAAAGCUCGUAGUUGGAUCUCGGAACAGGGAAUAACUGGUCUGCCGGUUGGUAUGUACUGUUGUCCCGUUCUCUACUGAUGGAACUUAUCUCUACUCUUAAAUGAGCGAGAGUAGAUCAGUAGAAUGUAUAUUG